RNAcentral lists this ribosomal RNA (119 nucleotides) under Helianthus annuus (common sunflower). The record is from RNAcentral. Lineage: Eukaryota; Viridiplantae; Streptophyta; Magnoliopsida; Asterales; Asteraceae.
GGUUGCGAAGAUACCAGCACUAAUGCACCGGAUCCCAUCAGAACUCCGCAGUUAAGCGUGCUUGGGCGAGAGUAGUACUAGGAUGGGUGACCCCCUGGGAAGUCCUCGUGUUGCAACCC